CCUACGGGGGGCAGCAGUGGGGAAUAUUGCACAAUGGGGGAAACCCUGAUGCAGCGACGCCGCGUGAGUGAAGAAGCGCCUCGGCGCGUAAAGCUCUGUCAGCAGGAACGAUAAUGACGGUACCUGAAGAAGAAGCCCCGGCUAACUACGUGCCAGCAGCCGCGGUAAUACGUAGGGGGCAAGCGUUAUCCGGAUUUACUGGGUGUAAAGGGAGCGUAGAUGGCGGGGCAAGUCUGGAGUGAAAGGCCGGGGCCCAACCCCGGGACCGCUCUGGAAACUGCCCGGCUGGAGUGCGGGAGAGGUAA
Molecule: ribosomal RNA, 305 nt
Filed under: uncultured bacterium
Lineage: Bacteria
Description: bacterial SSU rRNA
Rfam family: Bacterial small subunit ribosomal RNA
Source: RNAcentral